RNAcentral lists this non-coding RNA (29 nucleotides) under Mus musculus (house mouse). The record is from RNAcentral. Lineage: Eukaryota; Metazoa; Chordata; Mammalia; Rodentia; Muridae.
UGCCUAACGUUGUAACACCAUAUCUAUGC